GUAGGUGGCAAGCGUUGUCCGGGAAUUAUUGGGCGUAAAGCGCGCGCAGGCGGUUUCUUAAGUCUGAUGUGAAAGCCCACGGGCUCAACCGUGGAGGGUCAUUGGAAACUGGGGAACUUGAGUGCAGAAGAGGAAAGUGGAAUUCCACGUGUAGCGGUGAAAUGCGUAGAGAUGUGGAGGAACACCAGUGGCGAAGGCGACUUUCUGGUCUGUAACUGACGCUGAGGCGCGAAAGCGUGGGGAGCAAACAGGAUUAGAUACCCUGGUAGUCCACGCCGUAAACGAUGAGUGCUAAGUGUUAGAGGGUUUCCGCCCUUUAGUGCUGCAGCUAACGCAUUAAGCACUCCGCCUGGGGAGUACGGUCGCAAGACUG
Molecule: ribosomal RNA, 373 nt
Filed under: uncultured organism
Description: partial 16S ribosomal RNA
Rfam family: Bacterial small subunit ribosomal RNA
Source: RNAcentral